This is a non-coding RNA of Pelobates cultripes (western spadefoot toad), 366 nucleotides long. NCBI's taxonomy places the organism in Eukaryota, Metazoa, Chordata, Amphibia, Anura, Pelobatidae. The record is from the annotation of a GenBank genome assembly.
GUGAGGGGGUGACUAGUGACAGAGUGAGGGGGUGACUGGUGACCGAGUGAGGGAGGGGGUGACUAGUGACAGAGUAAGGGACGGAGGGGGUGACUAGUGACAGAAGGAGGGGGGAGUAGUGACAGAGUGAGGGAGGUGGUGACUAGUGACAGAGUGAGGGAGGUGGUGACUAGUGACAGUCACCACCUCCCUCACUCUGUCACUAGUCACCCCUUCCUUCCCUCACUCUGCCACUAGUCACCCCCUCACUCUGUCACUGGUCACCCCCUCCCUCUCUCUGUCACUAAUCACCACCUCCCCUCCCUCUCUCUGUCACUAGUCACCCCCUCCCUCCCUCUCUCUGUCACUAGUCACACCCUCCCUCAC